GUUUCCUCAUGUUCAGAUCCAGAUUGAGCAUUGUUUUGUUUUGUGUUUUGGCAAGAAUACCCCCCAAACGGCAUUGUGUACUUUCAGUUGCAUCACAUCAGGAGGUACGUUUCAUUUUGUCCCAUUAUUUGUUUGGUGACCGUGUUGUCUGCCAAAAGUUCUCCAUUGUAGUAGUACUUUUUCCUGUUUGUAAUUAGCAAGUAUUCUUUUGAGACCGGGUGACUGUCGUGUUUCCAGCAGCCUUUCAUCAGCAGCUCUCGUGUUCAGGGACUACCCUUGCCUCCACGCACGCUGCGUUGGUGGCUGCAGAGCGGCACUCUGCUGGCUCCUUCUGCCCCCGCCAGUUUCUAGGUCCUCACUCAUAGACUUUCCUCCUGGAUUCUGAACCGAGGACUUAAUUCAGCCUUUGCUACCUCCUGACCCACCGAGCCAGCCCGGAUCCCACGUUUCUGCCCUGGGGUCCUGCUUUCAGCGGCUCACCUCCGCCCAUGUGACAGCCCCGGGGUCUGGGUGACUUACUCCUGUGUUUCUCCCUCAGCCUGGGUUGUCAGCCUUUCCUUAGUUCUUAGAUCCCAAAUGCUCACUCAUUGUACAUAAUAACCUAACAACAAAAAUCGUGGGAUUCCUAAAAGUAACGACUUCAGAAACUGAGAUGUUGCAGAUUGUCUGGGAAGUAUAUAAGGCUCUGCUCUUCAUUGGCCUGCUCUGUUCCUGCGGUUUUCUCUGCAGAAUCAAGGUCAGGCAUUAACAAGGUCGGAGGGCGCCUGCUGCGGUCCAGAGCAGUCAACUCUCUUCUCACAAACGUCGCAGCACUGUGUUGGUUCCACACCUCCUCCUCGGCUCCCUCUCUUUGCUGCAUUUUCCCCCAUGCUUUUUUUUUCCUCAGUCAAUUAAAUAAUUUGGCUGCAU
Long non-coding RNA from Bubalus bubalis (water buffalo), 909 nucleotides. RefSeq lists it as uncharacterized. The transcript is spliced from 2 exons. The record is from RefSeq and is a predicted model, not a curated record. NCBI's taxonomy places the organism in Eukaryota, Metazoa, Chordata, Mammalia, Artiodactyla, Bovidae.